Molecule: ribosomal RNA, 478 nt
Filed under: uncultured bacterium
Lineage: Bacteria
Description: partial 16S ribosomal RNA
Rfam family: Bacterial small subunit ribosomal RNA
Source: RNAcentral
GAUGAACGCUAGCGGCAGGCUUAACACAUGCAAGUCGAGGGGUAUUUAUCUUCGGAUAGAGAGACCGGCGCACGGGUGCGUAACGCGUAUGCAAUCUACCUUUUACAGAGGGAUAGCCCAGAGAAAUUUGGAUUAAUACCUCAUAGUAUAUAGACUCGGCAUCGAGAUUAUAUUAAAGUCACAACGGUAAAAGAUGAGCAUGCGUCCCAUUAGCUAGUUGGUAAGGUAACGGCUUACCAAGGCUACGAUGGGUAGGGGUCCUGAGAGGGAGAUCCCCCACACUGGUACUGAAACACGGACCAGACUCCUACGGGAGGCAGCAGUGAGGAAUAUUGGACAAUGGGCGCAAGCCUGAUCCAGCCAUGCCGCGUGCAGGAUGACGGUCCUAUGGAUUGUAAACUGCUUUUAUACGAGAAGAAACACUGCUACGUGUAGCAGCUUGACGGUAUCGUAAGAAUAAGGAUCGGCUAACUCCGUG